Molecule: long non-coding RNA, 3411 nt
Organism: Oxyura jamaicensis (ruddy duck)
Lineage: Eukaryota; Metazoa; Chordata; Aves; Anseriformes; Anatidae
Exons: 3
Source: RefSeq, a predicted model, not a curated record
CUGUAGCUGGACAGACACUUUCAACACAAUUUGGAAGUAACCAGGCCAAAAGUACAUUGUGCCCUGGCACGGCAGGCCUGGAAGAGCUGCAGGACAGAAAAGCUGCACCCGGGGAAGGAGGUGACACAGCCAGGGAGAGGCGAGCAGCAGCCAAAAGGCGUGCUUUCCCUCGCACUGUGCUCAGGACGAGGGCAGCAGGGCCAGGCGAGGCUGCAGCUUGAGAUCCAGGGUGCAGGAGGACCCCGCUGCAAACUGUGAUGGACAGACGAUGAGGGGACAUGGAGGAAACCGAGUGUGGCACCAGGCGGUUGCUUUGGUAGAGGGGAUCUGAGUGGAAACAAGCUUGUUUGACUUCAGAUGCCAUGCUCAAAUGGAGAAAGGCCAGAGGCACCUCAGAGCAGAAGAUUAUUAAUUAGUACCCGCUGCCUGUUGUCAGAGCUGAAGGAGGUGUCCUGGGACAUGGCUGGACAAAAAACGUUGCUGAUGUUGUCGACUUGUAUUCAGUGCAACUAUAUCAGAGGUCAACACUGACUCUGCUCAUUAUUUAUUAGCCGGUUAAGUAAACAAAUUUUAAAAUUAGGUCAUCAGUGGGACUGAUGUAGUUUGGGAAGAAUGGAGGCAAACUCUUACUCAGCAGCGCAGCUGACAUCCUCAUCUUGCAAGAAUCCAGCAAAACGUCCAGAUCCCAGCUGGCCCGGGGAAGAGCAGCAUAACCGAGCAGAGCAAGCAGGACUGCAAGGAGCUGGAGAUCUCAAAGCACAGGGUGGAGAAGCGGGAGGUUGCUGCUGGGUCAGCCACUCUGCGGUGGCCGCUGCUGCCAUAAGUGGCUCGUGUGGACUGGCAGUGCCCUGCAGGGUCAAGGCAAAGCCGCUCGGUUUUCUGGGCUUUCUGUUUCCUUUCCAGUUGAUCUGAAACCACAAUGCUGCUAGAUUUUAGAAAAUGGUGUUCAUGCACACAGAUGUAGGAGCACACAAUGAAGGGAAAACAAGAUGCUCCUUUUAGUUGCAAGAAUGACUUCAUUUCUGGGGUGAACCAGAGGAUUACUUGGUGGUUUGUAAUAAAAUGCACAGAAAUUGUUUUGGAACAGCGGUGGAGAUAAUUGUCUUCCUCUACUCCACCUUUCCAGCACUGCUCCUUUCAUGCUGAAAUGAAAGGAAAUGUGUUCUGUUUUUCUUUUAUUCAUUUUUCCUCUCUUCACAAUGGUAUGAAAGAAUUUUCCAGAACCCAUUCCGGCCCGAAGGCUUUCACUGGGGCCAUAAACCUGUGCUGGGUUCAGCAUGCAGCCCCCAAAGGGGCUGCCCUGCAGCACGGCGGCUGGCCAGCCUGUGGGGCGCGAACCCUGGGCUGCCCCGAGCUGUGUAACCACUCGGGAACGUGGCUCCUGAAGCUCACAGCCAGCUCUUCCUGUGAUUAACAUCUGAUUCCUGAGACAGGGGCAAGAGGCAGGGGGAACUGGGGGCCUUUACUUUUGCCUGCCUGUGGCCCAGCAGCAUUUCCCAGCUGCAGAUGAUGGAUUUUUUCCUGCUUAAUUGCUGCCCCAGUUAAUGAGGUUUUUAUCACCUCCCAUAGCUGUUUCUGAAGGUGUGUGAGGAGCGAUGGAAGGAGAUAUGUCCUUUGCUCCCAGUGUCCCAGCCAAGCUGUGGCAGCAGCAUCCCACAGCUGGGGGGCAGAUUUACCUAUUCCUUCCAUUUUCUGUUGUCUUGGCUUUCUGAACUCAGAGAGCUCUCAGUGGGACUUUGCAGCUGCAGUUGUUAUUAUCCCAGCUAGGAGAACUCAAUUCCCUUUUUUUCCCCCCUUUUCAGGCGUUAGAAGCACCAGCCCGUGCCAGUUUCCUCUGCCCAGAAGCUGUCUCAGUUUCUCAGGAAUGAAGCUAAAUGAAGUUUUUCAAUGGCUGUGAGCAGCCUGCAGAUAACAGAAAAGAGUUCUGUGUUGUUCUUUGCGAGUAGGGCCCCUCACAAAGUAGCCUUAACUCUAUAUCAAGGAGUCAAGGGGUUAAAAUAAUAUUGUCCCAGCGUGUCAUUGCUAACUAAGGUCCUGGGCUUAACAAGACCCCAAAUUGUUCGUGUUCUACUGAUGUAAUUUGUUAUCCCGAAAUUUCCCCUAUUUUGUUAUUUCAGCGUGCUUGUCUCUAAGGUCAUAACUCCAACCCAAAUUCUUCACUUACCUUCCCCAAAGUGGGCAGGACUCUGUGCCUGGCUGAUAAACCAAUGCUAGUGCUGACCUCGUUGGUGCCUGAUGUCAUUCUGCUGAGCGGGAGCCUGGGGCUGGCUCUGCCCUCGCACCAGGGGACACUGACCAGUUCCCUGCUGCUCUGCCUGCCACUGGUUUAUUAAAACUAGAAAUGGACCAAGACCAAACCUCGGCAUGAAACUAUGUCUGAAUGUCUGCCUCCAAAUCCUGCAGCUUGCUACAACUGCUCUCUAAUGCUUAAAAUAAAACUGAACCCCCUGCAACACCAAACAACGUCUCAUUCCUCCUCCCUUCAUUCCCCCCAUGAACAAAACUCCUUGCACCUGGACGUAUCAAAGCUGAUGGGCUCGUGGCUACCUCCUUGCCCACCAACGUCAAAGGCAAAAUUCCCAGUGUGGUUGGCAGCGUCUGAGGGUCUGAUUCAGUCCCAUCUGAAACUCUGCCCAAGUAUGUAUGAUCAAUGAUGAUUUGAAAGGAUAUUAUUAUUAUUAUUAUUAUUAUUUAAGUCCAUUCGCGUGGCCUGCUCUGUUUGCAAGACUAGCUGGCAGUUAUUUCCUCUCACUUUCUUCCAAAACAUCCUUCCCAUGUCCUUGUAUUUUAUGGUCUUCACUAAGGAAUGUUGUCUACUGGAUCAUUUUUAUUGGCUUUGCUUUUUAAUAAUCAGCAUUUGAGUUUAAUGCAGCAGUUUUUUGGUAACAAAAUUCAUAGCUUAAAAAACAACAAAGCAGCCCCUAGUUCCCUUGGAUAGAUUUGAAAUGCGAUUACUUUUAUGAGUUGAAAAUAAAGGGCUGGUAGUUGAUGCUUAGUGGGAAGCGCUCCCAGUGUGUUUCAAGCACUGUUUUUCAGCCUCCACUGAUAAGAAAACUGCUGACUUGGGAUUCUGGGGGCUGCUUUUUGUUGCUCUUUUCACUCCUGCUGCAGCUGCCCGCGGUCAGGAAACCUCGAGGCCACACGGGGAGAGACGCUCGGCCAGGACAGUGUGCAGCGGUGGCUGCAGCCUGCGCCUCACAGGGCAGUUGGCACGAGGACAGGCUUCGCACCUCCCCACCACGGAUCUGACUUUUCCCCAGGGCCAAGUGCUCAGGGGCAACGCAGCAACCCAGGCAGAAGUCAUUCCAAACUGGUUGUAAUGCCACGCUCUGCAGCUCAGCUCCAGGCCACCCUCUGAGGGAAAGGAGUUCUGCUGAAGUAGUCCUCAGGCAGGUGGGAAGGGUGGCUUGA